RNAcentral lists this transfer RNA (54 nucleotides) under Calochromus sp. UPOL 000400. RNAcentral describes it as "partial tRNA-Ser". The record is from RNAcentral. Lineage: Eukaryota; Metazoa; Arthropoda; Insecta; Coleoptera; Lycidae.
AAAGAAAUAUUCUAAAGAAGCUUCUAACUUCUUAAAGAGCAAGAUCCUGUUCAU